Long non-coding RNA from Cyprinus carpio carpio, 1455 nucleotides. The record is from Ensembl. Lineage: Eukaryota; Metazoa; Chordata; Actinopteri; Cypriniformes; Cyprinidae.
AAUGUCACCGGGUGACUAAUCCGAGCGGAACUUUUCUUUUCUCCGGGCGGAACUAAAGUGUGGGAAAUAUUUCCGCCCGGACUAAUUUAAGUGAAACACGAGUUCGGUUCCGGUUGGCCCAAGGCAGGGAAUUAUCCAAGAUACACGUCAGGUGUGGGAAGAGGACGUGUCGGAUAUCGAUUGGAGGAUCGGGAAGGAAGCAGAGAUAUAAAAGGGGUUGGUUUAUGAACAGCUGAACAGGAGUUUGUUUUGCGGUGUUCCACACGAUACGGAAGUGGCUGGUGUGGCGUGGAUGUUGUGAUUUACGGGCUGCAACGGAGAACCCAAGGAAAAGGGAGAUUGGAAGUGCGGAGGAAGUUAAGUGAUCAACCUUUUGUAUGUUGUGUUUACAUCUUAUUGUGGAUUGAGUUGAAGGAGCGAUCCUAUGUUUGGAAGGCCCCUGAGUGAAGGAGAUCAUUGAACUCGUAUUGGGAGAGGAUAACACUGUGUACUGGUGGGUGAAGACUGUAUGAACAUUCCUUGUAUAUUGUGGAUAGUGGAUGACGGAUGUGGAGGGAGAUUAACUGCCUUUAAGAAAGGGUUCCGACUGCAUAUUUCUCCGUAGCAGUGGGUAAUUCACCCCCCCCCCUCUCUUGUGCUGAUCUAAUAAUCCUCAGUGUUUGUGUGUUUACUCAGUGUUGAUAGUGGUGCCUUGUGUUGGAGAUCGCUGGGAAGGUCGGAGAGGCUCCGGUGUACGAUAUAUACGCCUGCUGUGGUUUGCCCCCUGCCUAUGUCCAUCUGACACGCCCCGCCAGGACUCUGAGCCCGAAACGGGACUACACCACGGAUCUUCUUUCACUGAGUGUGUGGAGUGCGGUGAGUGCUGCUGUAUUGAAGUGUACACACGAGAAGAAUUGUAGUGCCUUUGUGGUGUGUGGUGUUUGUCUGUGGCUGUGUCCCCGGUCGUAGGAAGAGGCCUGACAGAGAGGAGCAGUGUAUUGGUGGCAACCACAGCCUUUCCUUUAAGUAAGCUGGAGCUUGGACGUGUUGGAGGCGCCUCUGGAGGAGGUUGGAUGACGUCGCCCACACAGCGAUCUCUGUAAGCUUUCAAAUCAAAGCCUUACCUUUUCAUCCACGUGACGUUGUGUCAUUGGCCUUGUUAGCAACCACCGGCCUUGUGCGUGUCGUCUGUGCUGUCUCUUCGACGAGGGAAGCGAAGGACAGCAGCCGAUCCUCCCCCGUGUGUCCCCUUGCCAAGCUGGGUGGGAAGCCCAGUGUUGUUCGCAGUUUCACCUGUAAGGCCCACCAGCCGUCAGUCAUCGACCAAAACCCGUAUCCGCUGGGAACACCGACCUCUGAAUAUCUUCAGUGAGCCAGAAAAUCCCUGUACAUCAACUGCCUGGCUCUUGCCUUACACUUACCUGGAGUGGAGUCGGCUGGAAAUUGAGGGCUGAAGUGGAGUGUGCCGAGCAAGGG